This 357-nucleotide small RNA is filed under the name Histoplasma ohiense. RNAcentral's name for it is "hypothetical lncRNA". The record is from RNAcentral. Lineage: Eukaryota; Fungi; Ascomycota; Eurotiomycetes; Onygenales; Ajellomycetaceae.
GCCACAAUAGAAUUCUUAUCAACAAUUUCUUUUUCUUUUCCAUGCUUAACCAUCAUCAAUUUCUUACAGUUUCUCCUUGCAAUUGACCAUGACAAUAGUGACAAAUAUCUUGACUUGAGUUAAACUUUCUCUCCAUACCAACUCCUGCCAAUGGAAUUGCCAGAAUAUCGCAUGCCAUCAUUGCCACUGUUGGGUACUGACUGCUGAUCAUCCUCCACAGAUCUAAAAUAGAUUUUCCUUUGAUAUUAACAGAAUCAUCAUAUAGAUAGCAGUCAAAUUCAGUGUUGCAAGAAUUUUGUUUGCUCAGAUUUUCAGCAGCAAUCAACAAGUGCAAAUCCUUAAUCAAUAAAUAUUAGU